Molecule: ribosomal RNA, 592 nt
Filed under: Escherichia coli
Lineage: Bacteria; Pseudomonadati; Pseudomonadota; Gammaproteobacteria; Enterobacterales; Enterobacteriaceae
Description: partial 23S ribosomal RNA
Rfam family: Bacterial large subunit ribosomal RNA
Source: RNAcentral
GUUAAGCGACUAAGCGUACACGGUGGAUGCCCUGGCAGUCAGAGGCGAUGAAGGACGUGCUAAUCUGCGAUAAGCGUCGGUAAGGUGAUAUGAACCGUUAUAACCGGCGAUUUCCGAAUGGGGAAACCCAGUGUGUUUCGACACACUAUCAUUAACUGAAUCCAUAGGUUAAUGAGGCGAACCGGGGGAACUGAAACAUCUAAGUACCCCGAGGAAAAGAAAUCAACCGAGAUUCCCCCAGUAGCGGCGAGCGAACGGGGAGCAGCCCAGAGCCUGAAUCAGUGUGUGUGUUAGUGGAAGCGUCUGGAAAGGCGCGCGAUACAGGGUGACAGCCCCGUACACAAAAAUGCACAUGCUGUGAGCUCGAUGAGUAGGGCGGGACACGUGGUAUCCUGUCUGAAUAUGGGGGGACCAUCCUCCAAGGCUAAAUACUCCUGACUGACCGAUAGUGAACCAGUACCGUGAGGGAAAGGCGAAAAGAACCCCGGCGAGGGGAGUGAAAAAGAACCUGAAACCGUGUACGUACAAGCAGUGGGAGCACGCUUAGGCGUGUGACUGCGUACCUUUUGUAUAAUGGGUCAGCGACUUAUAU